UAGGUCAUUCAGCAGUCUGUGGGAGUCUGGAUACACGUUAUCCCGAAAGCAUUCCCAAAGGAGAACAAGCCAAGCGGUCUCGCCGCUGUUAGAAGACAAAAAUCGUCUUGAAUAUUUUGAGUAAUACUUAGAAUGACUUCAAAGUGUCUGAUAGUCGCUAUAUUCACUAACGCGGGUUAGGAAUUCACCUCUAUAAAUCGGUCAAGUCACAGAAUUACUCGAACUGAUCGGCUAAAGAUUCAGACUGUCUUCAAAGAGCAAGCCAAAACAUCAUGGUGUAUUGCUGUGGUAUCGAUAUGAAACUUCUCUAUCCACUCUUGUUUUUAUUGUGCUUCUUGUGUCAAACUACACAAGGACGAAAGAGGAAUAAAGCUCAAUCAAAACCCAACAUUAUAUUCAUUUUAACCGAUGAUCAAGACAGUGAAUUGGGGUCAAUGUGGGUUAUGAACAAGACUCGUGAAAUCUUUUCUUCAGGAGCUGCCUUUGUCAAUGCGUUUGUGACUUCACCGAUUUGUUGUCCUUCUCGAUCAUCGAUUUUAACCGGCAUGUACGCGCAUAAUCACAACACCUUGACGAACAACAUCAAUUGUUCUUCACCGAACUGGAGAGCAGGACCCGAGAGAAAAAGUUACGCGAGAUACCUCUCUGAUGCAGGAUAUUUAACAGGUAAAGUUGUAAUGAAUAAAUUGAACUACCGAAUCCUAGAGUAUUGCUAAUGAAUUAUGAUAAUAAUAACAUAUAAUAUCUAAAGCAUUAUGUUAGUUUUUCAAUUGUUUUAAGCACUCACUACACAAAUAUAGCCAACCAAUUGUUCUAAUAUAGAGGCAAUAUUAAUUACUGAACUAUUGAAUCAACUGAUCAUGAGUGCUCUGAUUGUAGUUGUGAAAGGAGUGUUUAGCUCCGUUUAGCUUGACUAACUUGCGAUGAUUUUUUUUUCAUCUUGAAAAGCAGAAAGCGAAAACGAAAGUCCUUCUCGCGCGCAUUAGUAAAACUGCUCCACGAAGUGACACCAACUUCUACUUUAUUUUUCUUAUGAGGCUAAUUUUAGAAAUGGAGUUUAUGAAGAAAAAUAGUGACAUAAAAAUCCAUCGAACCGUCGUAAGUUUAUUUCACUAGUUUUUCUUCUGAAUUUACUUUUCGUUUAUUAAAAGUAUAUAUAUAAGAAGUAUUUCGAGUAAUUUGGUGAACGAAGUAGGUAAUCUAGUUCCAGACAUUUGAAUGAUGUGUUAAGAACAAUUGACUUAUAUUUUUCCGCGUUUGAACACGUCCCAAUUAAGUUGUCAAAACUUAACCCUUGGAUAUCCUACUCUAUGUUGUUUGUGUAAAAACAGUCGGAGAUGGAUAAUAGUCAAACGUGUCUACGUGAACUUGAA
This is a long non-coding RNA of Actinia tenebrosa (Australian red waratah sea anemone), 1373 nucleotides long. Lineage: Eukaryota; Metazoa; Cnidaria; Anthozoa; Actiniaria; Actiniidae. The record is from RefSeq and is a predicted model, not a curated record.